GAUGAACGCUAGCGGGAGGCCUAACACAUGCAAGCCGAGCGGUAGAGUCUCUUCGGGGACUUGAGAGCGGCGUACGGGUGCGUAACACGUGUGCAACCUGCCUCUAUCUGGGGGAUAGCCUUCCGAAAGGAAGAUUAAUACCCCAUAAUAUAAUGAUUGGCAUCAAUUAUUAUUGAAAACUCCGGUGGAUAGAGAUGGGCACGCGCAAGAUUAGAUAGUUGGUGGGGUAACGGCCCACCAAGUCGAUGAUCUUUAGGGGUCCUGAGAGGGAGAUCCCCCACACUGGUACUGAGACACGGACCAGACUCCUACGGGAGGCAGCAGUGAGGAAUAUUGGACAAUGGGUGCAAGCCUGAUCCAGCCAUCCCGCGUGAAGGACGACGGCCCUAUGGGUUGUAAACUUCUUUUGUACAGGGAUAAACCUCCCCUCGUGAGGGGAGCUGAAGGUACUGUACGAAUAAGCACCGGCUAACUCCGUG
This 479-nucleotide ribosomal RNA is filed under the name uncultured bacterium. Its description in RNAcentral is "bacterial SSU rRNA". It matches the Rfam family "Bacterial small subunit ribosomal RNA", at positions 28 to 507 of the family's 1533-position model. The record is from RNAcentral.